CCGGCGGAUGGCGGAGGACGCCGUCGACGCCGUGAUCCGGCGCGACCCCGGGUUCGCGUCCCGCCCGUCGGG
RNAcentral lists this transfer RNA (72 nucleotides) under Microbacterium trichothecenolyticum. Its description in RNAcentral is "tRNA-Ile". The record is from RNAcentral. Lineage: Bacteria; Bacillati; Actinomycetota; Actinomycetes; Micrococcales; Microbacteriaceae.